This 468-nucleotide ribosomal RNA is filed under the name uncultured bacterium. RNAcentral's name for it is "partial 16S ribosomal RNA". It matches the Rfam family "Bacterial small subunit ribosomal RNA", at positions 28 to 507 of the family's 1533-position model. The record is from RNAcentral.
GACGAACGCUGGCGGCGUGCUUAACACAUGCAAGUCGAACGGAAAGGCCCUGCUUUUGUGGGGUGCUCGAGUGGCGAACGGGUGAGUAACACGUGAGUAACCUGCCCUUGACUUUGGGAUAACUUCAGGUAACUGGGGCUAAUACCGGAUAGUAGCUCCUGCUGCAUGGUGGGAGUUGGAAAGUUUCGGCGGUUGGGGAUGGACUCGCGGCUUAUCAGCUUGUUGGUGGGGUAGUGGCUUACCAAGGCUUUGACGGGUAGCCGGCCUGAGAGGGUGACCGGCCACAUUGGGACUGAGAUACGGCCCAGACUCCUACGGGAGGCAGCAGUGGGGAAUAUUGCACAAUGGGCGGAAGCCUGAUGCAGCAACGCCGCGUGCGGGAUGACGGCCUUCGGGUUGUAAACCGCUUUCGCCUGUGACGAAGCGUGAGUGACGGUAAUGGGUAAAGAAGCACCGGCUAACUACGUG